RNAcentral lists this transfer RNA (73 nucleotides) under Urostrophus longicauda. RNAcentral's name for it is "tRNA-Asn". The record is from RNAcentral. Lineage: Eukaryota; Metazoa; Chordata; Lepidosauria; Squamata; Leiosauridae.
CUGGAUAGGCGGGCUUUGAUCCCACGAAAUUUUAGUUAACAGCUAAUUACCCAAACCAGCGGGCUUCAAUCCG